This 633-nucleotide small RNA is filed under the name Pan troglodytes (chimpanzee). Its description in RNAcentral is "processed transcript". Lineage: Eukaryota; Metazoa; Chordata; Mammalia; Primates; Hominidae. The record is from RNAcentral.
CUGGUGCUGGUCACCUUCCAGUCCCCAGUCAACUUCUACCGCUGGAAGAUAGAGCAGCUGCAGAUCCAGAUGGAGGCUGCCCCCUUCCGCAGCAAAGAGCCAUGCAUGGCAGAGGAAGUGUGUAGCAUGAGCUGGUACACGCCCAUGCCCAUCAAGAAAGGCAGUGUGGUCAUGCGUGUGGACAUCAGCAGCAAUGGCCUGGGGACCUUCAUUCCAGAUAAAAGGUUCCAGAUGAAUAUCAACGGCUUCCUGAAGAGAGACCGGGACAAUAACAUCCAAUUCACUGUGGGAGAGAAGCUCUUCAACCUGAUGCCCCAGUACUUUGUGGGUGUCUCAUCGAGGCCCUUGUGGCACACUGUGGACCAGUCACCUGUGCUUAUCCUGGGAGGCAUUCCCAAUGAGAAGUACGUCCUGAUGACUGACACCAGCUUCAAGGACUUCUCUCUCGUGGAGCUAGUGAUGACCUGGAACUUCUCUACCACAUCCCAGAAUUCAUCCCUGAAGCUCGAGGAUUGGAGUUCCUGAUGAUCCUAGGGACAGAGUCCUACACCAGCACUGCAAUGGCCCCCAAGGGCAUCUUCUGUAACCCGUACAACAACCUGAUCUUCAUCUGGGGCAACUUCCUCCUGCAGA